ACGAACGCUGGCGGCGUGCUUAACACAUGCAAGUCGAACGGAAAGGCCCUGCUUUUGUGGGGUGCUCGAGUGGCGAACGGGUGAGUAACACGUGAGUAACCUGCCCUUGACUUUGGGAUAACUUCAGGAAACUGGGGCUAAUACCGGAUAGGAGCUCCUGCUGCAUGGUGGGGUUGGAAAGUUUCGGCGGUUGGGGAUGGACUCGCGGCGUAUCAGCUUGUUGGUGGGGUAGUGGCUUACCAAGGCAUUGACGGGUAGCCGGCCUGGGAGGGUGACCGGCCACAUUGGGACUGAGAUACGGCCCAGACUCCUACGGGAGGCAGCAGUGGGGAAUAUUGCACAAUGGGCGGAAGCCUGAUGCAGCAACGCCGCGUGCGGGAUGACGGCCUUCGGGUUGUAAACCGCUUUCGCCUGUGACGAAGCGUGAGUGACGGUAAUGGGUAAAGAAGCACCGGCUAACUACGUG
RNAcentral lists this ribosomal RNA (466 nucleotides) under uncultured bacterium. RNAcentral's name for it is "partial 16S ribosomal RNA". It matches the Rfam family "Bacterial small subunit ribosomal RNA", at positions 29 to 507 of the family's 1533-position model. The record is from RNAcentral.